AGAGUUUGAUCAUGGCUCAGAGCGAACGCUGGCGGCGUGCUUAACACAUGCAAGUCGAACGGUUGUAGCAAUACAACCGUGGCGAACGGGUGCGUAACACGUGGAUAACCUUCCUUCAGGUGGGGAAUAACCCAGUGAAAAUUGGGCUAAUACCGCAUAACAAGACGAGGGCACAUGCUUUUGUCUUCAAAGGCGCAAGUCGCCAGAAGAGGGAUCCGCGGCCGAUUAGCUAGUUGGCGGGGUAACGGCCCACCAAGGCAAUGAUCGGUAGCCGGAUUGAGAGGUUGGCCGGCCACACUGGAACUGAGACACGGUCCAGACUCCUACGGGAGGCAGCAGUGGGGAAUCUUGCACAAUGGACGAAAGUCUGAUGCAGCAACGCCGCGUGGGGGAUGAAGCUUCUCGGAGUGUAAACCCCUUUCGACCCGGAAGAAAGCCCGCAAGGGUUUGACGGUACGGGUAUAAGAAGCCCCGGCUAACUACGUGCCAGCAGCCGCGGUAAUACGUAGGGGGCCAGCGUUGCUCGGAAUUACUGGGCGUAAAGGGUCCGUAGGCGGUGUGGCAAGUCGGGAGUGAAAUCUCUGGGCUUAACCCAGAGGCUGCUUCCGAAACUGCCGUGCUAGAGUGUGAGAGAGGCGAGUGGAAUUGCGGGUGUAGCGGUGAAAUGCGUAGAUAUCCGCAGGAACAUCCGAGGCGAAAGCGGCUCGCUGGAUCACAACUGACGCUGAGGGACGAAAGCUAGGGGAGCAAACAGGAUUAGAUACCCUGGUAGUCCUAGCCCUAAACCAUCAGACUUGGGGUUUGCCCUGUACGGGGCAAGUCCCGUAGCUAACGCGUUAAGUCCUGCGCCUGGGGAGUACGGUCGCAAGACUGAAACUCAAAGGAAUUGACGGGGGCCCGCACAAGCGGUGGAACAUGUGGUUCAAUUCGACGCAACGCGAAGAACCUUACCUGGGCUUGAACCGCACAGGACCAGCCCUAGAAAAUAGGCCUUCCCGCAAG
Molecule: ribosomal RNA, 1002 nt
Filed under: uncultured bacterium
Lineage: Bacteria
Description: bacterial SSU rRNA
Rfam family: Bacterial small subunit ribosomal RNA
Source: RNAcentral